UGGUCUGCAAUGCUGACUGUGUGAUCAGCAAUGUUGUGGCAAAAUGGCCUGGCUCAGUCCAUGACUCCAGAAUCUUUCGGGCCUCUGAAAUCUAUCAGUGCCUAUCACAAGGUGAAUUCUCUGGUGUGUUGCUGGGAGACAGGGGUAUGGCUGCCAGCCUUUUCUCCUGACACCUUUCACAGACCCCCCAGGAAGCACAGCAGGCCUACAACCAUGCCCAUGCCAGGACCAGGGCCAGAGUUGAAAUGACCUUUGGCCUCCUGAAGGCACGCUUUCACUGCCUUCACAAAUUAAGGGUCAGCCCUGUUAGGGCAUGUGAUAUUACUGUGGCUUGUGCUGUCCUCCACAAUGUGGCCUGCCUGAGGAAGGAGAGGGCCCCCAGAGUGCCACCAGCCAUGGACUGGGACAAUCCGGCAAUCUUCCCUGAUGACGACAGUGGUCGAAUGCUGAGGGACCAAUAUGUGUUGAAUUAUUUUAGUUAGUAUGUGUGCUUUCAAUUUUGGUUAAAUAUGUCCUGCGGUGGCAGAGGAAUUUGGUUUUUUGGGUUCGUUUUUUUUUGACGAAUUUGGCCUCUUAUGAUGUUUGUGCGGUAUACUGUGUGUAAUACAAGGCUGCAGGGAGGCUACUGCAUCCAUUCAUUUGUCUGUUCAGUUGAUGUGUAUGGAUUUGUCCUGCAUUUAUUUUAGUGUGCAGACAUGCAGGGUGUGUUAUAUACAGACCUUUGAAUGUGUAUGUAUCAUUUUGUAUAAUAUGCUUGGAUUCUGUGCUUUCCAUCUUGUAGAGUCACUGUGACUUCAGUUUCGAAAGGAGCUGAUGGUUUACCUGCUUUGUUUUGUCCUUAUUCAAUAAAGGAACAUAAUGUUA
Molecule: long non-coding RNA, 864 nt
Organism: Oncorhynchus nerka (sockeye salmon)
Lineage: Eukaryota; Metazoa; Chordata; Actinopteri; Salmoniformes; Salmonidae
Exons: 2
Source: RefSeq, a predicted model, not a curated record